UGAAUACGAGAUGCUACGGCAUUGAAGCGGUGUAUGUCAGACUUCCAAGAAAAGCUCGCAAUGUCAUAAACAAAAAUGCCUGUACCAUAACCGACACAGGUGGGUAGGUAGAGUAUACUAAGGGGCGCGAGAUAACUCUCUCUAAGGAACUCGGCAAAAUGACUCCGUAACUUCGGGAGAAGGAGUGCCUUAUUUAUUAAGGUUGCAAUAACAAGAUCCAAGCAACUGUUUACCAAAAACACAGGUCUCCGCUAAGUCGUAAGACGAUGUAUGUGGGCUGACGCCUGCCCAGUGCCAGAAGGUUAAAGAAGUUGGUUAGCAUUGCGAAGCUGAUGACUGAAGCCCUGGUGAACGGCGGCCGUAACGAUAACGGUCCUAAGGUAGCGAAAUUCCUUGUCGGGUAAGUUCCGACCCGCACGAAAGGCGUAAUGAUUUGGAUACUGUCUCGGAGAGGGGCUCGGUGAAAUAGACUUGUCUGUGAAGAUGCGGACUACCUGCACCAGGACAGAAAGACCCUAUGAAGCUUUACUGUAACUUGAGAUUGAAAUUGGACUUUAUUUGCGCAGUAUAGGUGGGAGACGUUGAGAAUAUUCUUGCGGGAAUAUUGGAGUCAUCAGUGAGAUACCACUCUUGUAAUGUUAGAUUUCUAACUUUGUAUCAUUAUCUGGUCAAAGAACAGUCUCAGGCGGGCAGUUUGACUGGGGCGGUCGCCUCCCAAACGGUAACGGAGGCGCACAAAGGUUUCCUCUGAACGUGUAGAAAUCGUAUCUAGAGUGUAAAGGCAUAAGGAAGCUUGACUGUGAGACCUACAAGUCGAGCAGGGACGAAAGUCGGUCUUAGUGAUCUGACGGUGCUGAGUGGAAAGGCCGUCACUCAACGGAUAAAAGUUACUCUAAGGAUAACAGGCUGAUCUCCCCCAAGAGUUCACAUCGACGGGGAGGUUUGGCACCUCGAUGUCGGCUCAUCGCAUCCUGGGGCGGUAGUACGUCCCAAGGGUUGGGCUGUUCGCCCAUGAAAGCGGUACGCGAGCUGGGUUCAGAACGUCGUGAGACAGUUCGGUCCAUAUCCGGUGUAGGCGUUAGAAUGUUGAGAGGAGCCUUCUUUAGUACGAGAGGACCGAGAAGGACAUACCUCUGGUGUACCAGUUAUCGUGCCAACGGUAAACGCUGGGUAGCUAUGUAUGGAGAGGAUAACCGCUGAAAGCAUCUAAGUGGGAAGCCCACCUCAAGAUAAG
This 1234-nucleotide ribosomal RNA is filed under the name metagenome. RNAcentral's name for it is "bacterial LSU rRNA". It matches the Rfam family "Bacterial large subunit ribosomal RNA", at positions 1564 to 2808 of the family's 2925-position model. The record is from RNAcentral.